CAGGUUUACCUGUGUGACUGCGUACCUUUUGUAUAAUGGGUCAGCGACUUAUAUUCUGUAGCAAGGUUAACCGCAUAGGGGAGCCGCAGGGAAACCGAGUCUUAACCGGGCGUUAAGUUGCAGGGUAUAGACCCGAAACCCGGUGAUCUAGCCAUGGGCAGGUUGAAGGUUGGGUAACACUAACUGGAGGACCGAACCGACUAAUGUUGAAAAAUUAGCGGAUGACCUGUGGCUGGGGGUGAAAGGCCAAUCAAACCGGGAGAUAGCUGGUUCUCCCCGAAAGCUAUUUAGGUAGCGCCUCGUGAAUUCAUCUCCGGGGGUAGAGCACUGUUUCGGCUAGGGGGCCAUCCCGGCUUACCAACCCGAUGCAAACUGCGAAUACCGGAGAAUGUUAUCACGGGAGACACACGGCGGGUGCUAACGUCCGUCGUGAAGAGGGAAACAACCCAGACCGCCAGCUAAGGUCCCAAAGUCAUGGUUAAGUGGGAAACGAUGUGGGAAGGCCCAGACAGCCAGGAUGUUGGCUUAGAAGCAGCCAUCAUUUAAAGAAAGCGUAAUAGCUCACUGGUCGAGUCGGCCUGCGCGGAAGAUGUAACGGGGCUAAACCAUGCACCGAAGCUGCGGCAGCGACACUCAGGUGUUGUUGGGUAGGGGAGCGUUCUGUAAGCCUGUGAAGGUGGCCUGUGAGGGUUGCUGGAGGUAUCAGAAGUGCGAAUGCUGACAUAAGUAACGAUAAAGCGGGUGAAAAGCCCGCUCGCCGGAAGACCAAGGGUUCCUGUCCAACGUUAAUCGGGGCAGGGUGAGUCGACCCCUAAGGCGAGGCCGAAAGGCGUAGUCGAUGGGAAACGGGUUAAUAUUCCCGUACUUGGUGUUACUGCGAAGGGGGGACGGAGAAGGCUAUGUUGGCCGGGCGACGGUUGUCCCGGUUUAAGCGUGUAGGUGUGUGUUCCAGGUAAAUCCGGUUCACUUUAACACUGAGGCGUGACGACGAGGCACUACGGUGCUGAAGCAACAAAUGCCCUGCUUCCAGGAAAAGCCUCUAAGCAUCAGGUAACAUCAAAUCGUACCCCAAACCGACACAGGUGGUCAGGUAGAGAAUACCAAGGCGCUUGAGAGAACUCGGGUGAAGGAACUAGGCAAAAUGGUGCCGUAACUUCGGGAGAAGGCACGCUGACACGUAGGUGAAGUGAUUUACUCAUGGAGCUGAAGUCAGUCGAAGAUACCAGCUGGCUGCAACUGUUUAUUAAAAACACAGCACUGUGCAAACACGAAAGUGGACGUAUACGGUGUGACGCCUGCCCGGUGCCGGAAGGUUAAUUGAUGGGGUCAGCGCAAGCGAAGCUCCUGAUCGAAGCCCCGGUAAACGGCGGCCGUAACUAUAACGGUCCUAAGGUAGCGAAAUUCCUUGUCGGGUAAGUUCCGACCUGCACGAAUGGCGUAAUGAUGGCCAGGCUGUCUCCACCCGAGACUCAGUGAAAUUGAACUCGCUGUGAAGAUGCAGUGUACCCGCGGCAAGACGGAAAGACCCCGUGAACCUUUACUAUAGCUUGACACUGAACAUUGAGCCUUGAUGUGUAG
This 1578-nucleotide ribosomal RNA is filed under the name Salmonella enterica subsp. enterica serovar Indiana. RNAcentral describes it as "partial 23S ribosomal RNA". It matches the Rfam family "Bacterial large subunit ribosomal RNA", at positions 580 to 2141 of the family's 2925-position model. Lineage: Bacteria; Pseudomonadati; Pseudomonadota; Gammaproteobacteria; Enterobacterales; Enterobacteriaceae. The record is from RNAcentral.